Molecule: small RNA, 429 nt
Filed under: Pan troglodytes (chimpanzee)
Lineage: Eukaryota; Metazoa; Chordata; Mammalia; Primates; Hominidae
Description: processed transcript
Source: RNAcentral
UGAGAAGAGGAUGUGGUGGGAGCUGGACUCCAGGACAGUGUCCCAGGCAACAAGCAAGGAGUUGUUUGAGGGGAGGAGCAGUGCUGGGGAACAUUCUUUCCAACUGGCUUGGGUUGCACAGUGAAAAUGAAGCCCCGCCCCUCCCAGCCUCCCUGGAAGACAAAGCCCCACCUCCGUCCGGCUACCUGGGAGAUGAGGCCCCACCCCUUUUUUACUCCUUGGGAGAUGAGGCCCCGCCCCUCUUAAACUCUGGGAGAUGGAGCCCUGCUCCCUGUGUCUUCCUGGGAGAUGAGGCCCCACCGCCUGCCUUCCUGACAUGAAGCCCCUCCCCUAUGAGGAUCCUCUACACCACAUACUACGAGUCCAUCACCAACAGGGGCCCCUUCUUCGGCUACUACUUCUUCAACGGGCUUCUGAUGUUGCUGCAGC